GCUUCAUCCUUGGAUCCUGCUAUACAUGACAUUUACACAGUUGAAGCAGUCGGAAUCCCUCACCAGAUGCAGUUGCCCAAUCUUGAACCUUCCAGCCACCGGAAUUGGACUUGUUUCUUCACCACAAACUCAGCAAGAUAUUCCUAUGAAUGACACAACAC
This is a long non-coding RNA of Lemur catta (Ring-tailed lemur), 161 nucleotides long. RefSeq lists it as uncharacterized. The transcript has 3 exons. The record is from RefSeq and is a predicted model, not a curated record. Lineage: Eukaryota; Metazoa; Chordata; Mammalia; Primates; Lemuridae.